UCAGGACGAACGCUGGCGGCGUGCCUAAUACAUGCAAGUCGAACGGUCUUUCUAUGGAAGCUUGCUUCCACUGAGAAGAUAGUGGCGAACGGGUGAGUAACACGUGGGUAACCUGCCCAUAAGAGGGGGGAUAACAUCCGGAAACGGGUGCUAAUACCGCAUAGUUUUCUUGAUCGCAUGAUUGAGAAAGGAAAGACGGCCUUUGUGCUGUCGCUUAUGGAUGGACCCGCGGCGUAUUAGUUAGUUGGUGAGGUAACGGCUCACCAAGACGAUGAUACGUAGCCGACCUGAGAGGGUGAUCGGCCACAUUGGGACUGAGACACGGCCCAAACUCCUACGGGAGGCAGCGGUAGGGAAUCUUCCGCAAUGGACGAAAGUCUGACGGAGCAACGCCGCGUGAGUGAAGAAAGGUUUUCGGAUCGUAAAACUCUGUUGUCAGAGAAGAACAAGUUGGAGAGUAACUGCUCCAGCCUUGACGGUAUCUGACCAGAAAGCCACGGCUAACUACGUGCCAGCCGCCGC
This 522-nucleotide ribosomal RNA is filed under the name uncultured bacterium. RNAcentral's name for it is "bacterial SSU rRNA". It matches the Rfam family "Bacterial small subunit ribosomal RNA", at positions 24 to 518 of the family's 1533-position model. The record is from RNAcentral.